Molecule: ribosomal RNA, 222 nt
Filed under: uncultured bacterium
Lineage: Bacteria
Description: partial 16S ribosomal RNA
Rfam family: Bacterial small subunit ribosomal RNA
Source: RNAcentral
CGACGUAAAGAACUUGCCUCACAGCUAGGGACAACAUUUGGAAACGAAUGCUAAUACCUAAUAUUAUGAUAAUAGAGCAUCCUAUAAUUAUGAAAGCUAUAAGCGCUGUGAGAGAGCUUUGCGUCCCAUUAGCUAGUUGGAGAGGUAACGGCUCACCAAGGCGAUGAUGGGUAGCCGGCCUGAGAGGGUGAUCGGCCACAAGGGGACUGAGACACGGCCCUU